AGUAAUCAUUUGACACUAGAAGAAGGGCACAUGGAAUUGGAUCUUCAAAUGGUUGGAAAGGGAAAACAUAGAUCAGAUCAUGAAUGCCAGAUAAUUCGUAACUUUGAAUUCUUUGCAAGCAAAUGCUAUGCAUAAAGCUGAUGAAAUCUAGAAAGUGGUAGAUUCCAUUUCCAAGGAAAAGGUAAUGUUGUCCUCCAUUGAUUCUUGUCCUGGCUCACCAAUAGGGUGCAUGAAGGAUGCUUCAUCUUUCAGCAACCCAGGCUGUUGAUCAAUUUGUAUGCAAUUUUGAGACUUCCUCAAUCCAUCCAGCUCCAUUGCUACUUCUCUCAUUGUAGGCCUCUUUUUCCCAUUCAAUCUCAAACAUCUCACUGCAAGCUUUGCAAUGGCAUGAACAUCUUCUUUCCUUCCUUCUUUGGCAACUCGAGGAUCUAAAAUUUCUAGAAGGCGAUCCUCCUUUGUCGAUGAUAUGAAAUGUGCUACAAGGUUUCUCUCAUCUUCAGAUCUGGCAGAAGAGAUAGGUUUUUCCCCUGCUAGGAGUUCUAUUAGCACAACCCCAAAACUGUACACAUCACUUUUUUCUGUGAAUUGACUUGUGUGGAAGUAUUCAGGAUCUAGGUAACCAAAGGUUCCCUGUACUGCAGUGGUCAGGUGAGUUCUGUCAAAUGGGAUUGAUCUUGAAGUCCCAAAAUCUGAUAUUUUUGCGCCAUAUUUAUCAUCUAGGAGUAUGUUUGAAGGUUUGAUAUCUCUAUGGAAGAUUGGGGAUGAAGCUGCAGAAUGCAUAUAUGCUAUUGCUCCAGCUACUUCACUUGCAAU
RNAcentral lists this unclassified non-coding RNA (813 nucleotides) under Hevea brasiliensis (rubber tree). Lineage: Eukaryota; Viridiplantae; Streptophyta; Magnoliopsida; Malpighiales; Euphorbiaceae. The record is from RNAcentral.